CAGUAGCCGCGGUAAUACGAAGGGGGCUAGCGUUGCUCGGAAUGACUGGGCGUAAAGGGCGCGUAGGCGGUUUUGACAGUCAGAUGUGAAAUUCCUGGGCUUAACCUGGGGGCUGCAUUUGAGACGUCAAGACUAGAGUGUGAGAGAGGGUUGUGGAAUUCCCAGUGUAGAGGUGAAAUUCGUAGAUAUUGGGAAGAACACCGGUGGCGAAGGCGGCAAUCAGGCUCAUUACUGACGCUGAGGCACGAAAGCGUGGGGAGCAAACAGGAUUAGAUACCCGGGUAGUCCCUGUCUCUUAUAC
Molecule: ribosomal RNA, 301 nt
Filed under: uncultured bacterium
Lineage: Bacteria
Description: partial 16S ribosomal RNA
Rfam family: Bacterial small subunit ribosomal RNA
Source: RNAcentral